Chrysemys picta bellii (western painted turtle) is the source of this 716-nucleotide long non-coding RNA. RefSeq lists it as uncharacterized. The record is from RefSeq and is a predicted model, not a curated record. NCBI's taxonomy places the organism in Eukaryota, Metazoa, Chordata, Testudines, Emydidae.
UGUCUAGGACGGUGCUACAGUGCAUGGGCUCGUCAGCCACACAAAGAGCACUAAUUUUAAAAAACGCAGAUUCCUGUGCAUUCCAGCAGACGAGGGAAAUGGUCAGAGGGCAGAUCAAACUUGACUGGCUAUCUGAAGUUCAAGAAUUUCUUCACUUCUGGAGAGCCCAGAACUACCCUUCCUCCAGCUUGGCCCAGCUCUGCACAUUGCCUGCUGCUGAUGUAUGCUCCUGCCUCAGUUGUGUAUCCGUCUGAUACUGGACUGGCUCACUCCUCCAUCCUGCCCUUUGGAGAGAGACAUUUGGUACUUCUGAUGCACUGUACUCGGAGACCCUGGAUAGCUAACUAGGGACAGGGUCGCUCAGCCCCUCCCCAGAAGAUGGCAUCAGAUUGCCUUCUAGCUGUGGAACAGUUACAUUUUAUCAGCAGCAGGAAGUGGUGUGGUCACUAAUUACCACUGUCAGAGAAUGAACUGCAGGGUUUGAGCCCAAAUCAGAUCUGCUAAGGUGAGACACAGCGGACUGCCACCCAGCGCCCAGUCUGAGAGUGGGAGAAAUACACGUUUCCACGCCAAGAAAGAGGUGAUGGCCUGAGACCUAGAGGGGGUGUGCUCGGAGAAACCCGAGAGUAGAUGAAGUGCAGUUGGCCCAGUAACUGUGACAGAGAGCACCAUGGAUUUAAAGUGAGACACUGACCUGGAUUCAGUCUGGCUGUUUA